RNAcentral lists this ribosomal RNA (248 nucleotides) under Staphylococcus aureus. RNAcentral's name for it is "partial 16S ribosomal RNA". It matches the Rfam family "Bacterial small subunit ribosomal RNA", at positions 1280 to 1526 of the family's 1533-position model. Lineage: Bacteria; Bacillati; Bacillota; Bacilli; Caryophanales; Staphylococcaceae. The record is from RNAcentral.
AGUUGUUCUCAGUUCGGAUUGUAGUCUGCAACUCGACUACAUGAAGCUGGAAUCGCUAGUAAUCGUAGAUCAGCAUGCUACGGUGAAUACGUUCCCGGGUCUUGUACACACCGCCCGUCACACCACGAGAGUUUGUAACACCCGAAGCCGGUGGAGUAACCUUUUAGGAGCUAGCCGUCGAAGGUGGGACAAAUGAUUGGGGUGAAGUCGUAACAAGGUAGCCGUAUCGGAAGGUGCGGCUGGAUCAC